CUGUGUCAGCUUAGGACAGAAGAGGACCCUUACACUGACAUGCAUUUAGCUGCAGAGCACACGGCGAGCGGCUAACCUCUGCCUCGGUUCCACAUUCCUGAGAAAAAGAAUCUCAUGGGCUAGUUUCCAUUAAGCCUCUAUCACGGUCCCGUCAGCUGUAGUUGAGACAAUGGUCAGGUAAGUAGGUGCUGGAAGGGAAAGGCAUUCUCAGUUUAACAAAGUAUUUUUAAUAAAGUCACAAUAGCAUGAAAGUUAAUAAUAAUGAGGUUUCUAAAUACCCUUUCCAAUGUUGUUCAUUGAAGUUCAUUAAGUACUAUUCAAAUAGUACUUAAGUUUUUAAAACUAUCCCCCAAAUGCUUCAGAGCCAUCUGAAAUGGUUGCUGGGUUUAGACUUCCCUGACACCUGUGAUGAGUCACAAUUUAGUCAUCAAUGUUAGUGUUCUACUCUCAUCAUAAGGGCCUGUGAGGAAGGUCAAGGUGGUUUGCAGUGGCUUUUCUGGAAAAUCUUCCAGAAGACUCCAAGCUCUAUUGUCUGCAAUUAGGAUAAUAGGCGUGGCUUCCGUCAGAAGGCUCCUUUCAGUUCUGUAAAAGUUCCUAUUGUAGUUGAGAAGAUGUCCCUUUUCAAAGCAUGCUGAAUGGAACCGAGCAACUCAGAUGUUCUACACUAACAGAAAAAUUAGUACUACCUUUGACUUCUGAUAGCCCUAAAAAACUAUACAGCUAUAUUGGAGGUGAGCAAGAAUUGCCAUGGACAUGGGCCUGCCUGGGAGGCUGAGUGGGCAAGAGUAACUUGUAACCAGAAGUGAGUAACUCUCCCUCCUUUCCCAUCUCACUGCUCUUUUCCCUCCACUCCUGUCUCCCUAAGUUUACACUCUCUAACAAAAGAGUAGCAUAUGCCAACACAGCCUUUGCUUUAUGGGGACCCAAAUUAAGACAACGGCAUUAAAAUUUAUUUUGCACCUUGCACUUGGGUUCACAGCCAAAGUGCAUUAAAAAAAUAGCAAAAUUGUGAUGUGAUAAUUAAACUCUCCUCUGUGUUAUUGAAGAGUUUCUUAUCUGGGUCAUGGUAAAACUGCAUCAUAACUGCAGUCUUAUGGGUCAUGUUAAAACGGCAUAUAUCUUCUCACAGAGAUGGAGACAUUUAUAACAUCUGCCUGGCAGCUUGCCCAUCCUUGAUUGCAAAAGGGAAUAAAAGCACCUUAGAGAGUAACAAAGAUGACAUGAAAUUUUGAAAGAGAAAAAGAGAGAUGGGAUUGAUUGAGAAAUAAUAUUCUCAUAAAAACUCA
RNAcentral lists this long non-coding RNA (1286 nucleotides) under Papio anubis (olive baboon). RNAcentral describes it as "lncRNA (ENSPANG00000050571.1)". Lineage: Eukaryota; Metazoa; Chordata; Mammalia; Primates; Cercopithecidae. The record is from RNAcentral.